AGCGAACGCUGGCGGCAGGCCUAAUACAUGCAAGUCGAGCGCCCGGGGCAAUCCGGGCGCGGCAGACGGGUGAGUAACACGUGGGAACAUGCCCUGUGGUUCGGAAUAACUCGGGGAAACCAGUGCUAAUAUCGGAUACGUCCGUACGGAGCAAGAUUUAUCGCCGAAGGAUUGGCGCGCUUCCGAUUAGCUAGUGGGUGGGGUAAUGGCACACAAAGGCGGCGGUCGGUAGCUGGUCUGAGAGGAUGGUCAGCCACACUGGGACUGAGACACGGCCGAGACUCCUACGGGAGGGAGCAGAAGGGAAUAUUGGACAAUGGGCGCAACCCUGAUCCAGCCAGGCCGCGUGGGUGAUGAAGGCCCUAGGGUUGUAAAGCCCUUUCGGCGGGCGAGAUAAUGACGGUACCCGCAGAAGAAGCCCCGGCUAACUUCGUGCCAGCCGCCGCUGUAA
Molecule: ribosomal RNA, 451 nt
Filed under: uncultured bacterium
Lineage: Bacteria
Description: partial 16S ribosomal RNA
Rfam family: Bacterial small subunit ribosomal RNA
Source: RNAcentral